AUGGUGGUUGGCACCGGCAUCCGCGCCAGCUGUGGGGAGCAAGGGGUGAUGACGAACUCCAUGGCCGAGAGGGGCCACCUGAGUGGUGUGAGUGAUGAGGACAUGACUAUCUUGGAUACGACCAAAAAUAUUGCAUACAUGCAUAUUUGUCAGGUGAUUUCUAAUGCAAACUAUUCAAUAAUCUAUUUAUGUUAUCCAGAACAAAAAUACUUCACACACUUUUGUGUUUUGUCUAAUUGUAGGUGUAUGGGACAUUUGUACAAUCCACAUAUGAAGAUAAGGGAAAAUGAGAAGUUUAUGUUGUGUUCAAAAAGUCAUCUCACGUCACUUUUGGGCCAAGAGAAGAUAGAGUCCAAGUCUUUCUCGUUCUGGAUUCAGAUUCGGACUGCACAGACAUACCUGACUCAAAACGCCAACAACUUUUUCAUAUGGACUCCGAAUUGGGUGAUUCUUUUUUUGUUGGAAACUAGAUUUCGUGAUCUUUCCAACCCAAUUGGAUUCACCUUCAAAUUCGUCCGGAGAGUUGAGUUACGGACGAAACAAUCUGACGUUGUAGUAGAAUCCGAGUCAAACUACAAGCCCAAAGGUGUUGUAUCACCUCCACUUGGGCCCAUGAGCCCUGUACGACCUAGGGUUAGUUUUAGGCUGCCUUGGGACGUCCUCCCACCUCCUUGGCCGCCACUCCUUGCUCCUAUAUAA
RNAcentral lists this ribosomal RNA (699 nucleotides) under Triticum aestivum (bread wheat). Its description in RNAcentral is "partial small subunit ribosomal RNA". Lineage: Eukaryota; Viridiplantae; Streptophyta; Magnoliopsida; Poales; Poaceae. The record is from RNAcentral.